Long non-coding RNA from Gopherus evgoodei (Goodes thornscrub tortoise), 325 nucleotides. RefSeq lists it as uncharacterized. The record is from RefSeq and is a predicted model, not a curated record. The transcript is spliced from 4 exons. NCBI's taxonomy places the organism in Eukaryota, Metazoa, Chordata, Testudines, Testudinidae.
ACCGGAACUACAAAGGAGCAGCAGGUCUGGCAGCGACACCAGGCAGACCCCCCAAAACAGACCUGGCCAUUUCAGUGAUCUCGGGGGACCCGGUCCUUAGGCCUGCCAAGCUCGGGCUGGACCUGUCGUCCGCAGCUGUGGCAGCUGCCUUCCAGUCCCCGGGAGGAGGUAAGUAGAGUCUGCCAGGGCAGGGGGGUGCCCUCAUGCACCCCUGGCUCGGGGCACAGGGUGCGUGUGACAGGAGCCUGAAGCUGAACAGAGCCAGGCCGGGUGCGGACUUGCAGGGGAGAGUGAAGGAAAAUUCACGCUGGUCCUGGAUUAGGGG